RNAcentral lists this ribosomal RNA (349 nucleotides) under uncultured bacterium. Its description in RNAcentral is "partial 16S ribosomal RNA". It matches the Rfam family "Bacterial small subunit ribosomal RNA", at positions 338 to 698 of the family's 1533-position model. The record is from RNAcentral.
CCUACGGGAGGCAGCAGUCGAGAAUCAUUCACAAUGGGGGAAACCCUGAUGGUGCGACGCCGCGUGGGGGAAUGAAGCUCUUCGGAUUGUAAACCCCUGUCAUGUGGGAGCAAAUUAAAAAGAUAGUACCACAACAGGAAGAACCGGCUAACUCUGUUCCAGCAGCCGCGGUAAUACAGAGGUCUCAAGCGUUGUUCGGAAUCACUUGGCGUAAAUCGUGCGUAGGCUGUUGUGUAAGUCGUGUGUGAAAGGCGCGGGCUCAACCCGCGAACGGCCCAUGAUACUGCGAGGCUAGAGAAAUGGAGGGGGAACCGGAAUGCUCGGUGUAGCAGUGAAAUGCGUAGAUAUC